This 218-nucleotide long non-coding RNA is filed under the name Trifolium pratense (red clover). RNAcentral describes it as "long non-coding RNA (TPRA_LNC005148)". The record is from RNAcentral. Lineage: Eukaryota; Viridiplantae; Streptophyta; Magnoliopsida; Fabales; Fabaceae.
UUCUGUGGUAUUUAUAUAGCAAUAGGACCAAGUUUUGGCAUUGAAUCCUGAUUGAUUUGAUAUGAAUGAUGAUUGAACAAAUUUGCAAGUGAAUGAAAAUUUUCCUUUUUGGUUUGAUUUGUUCUCAUCAACAACUAAUGUGAUUCAAUUUUGUUUAUGAGUAGGAUUUCAAUUUUCCAUUCCUGGAUUAAUAGCAUACGCGUACUCACUGCAUCCUU